RNAcentral lists this long non-coding RNA (785 nucleotides) under Marmota monax (woodchuck). The record is from RNAcentral. Lineage: Eukaryota; Metazoa; Chordata; Mammalia; Rodentia; Sciuridae.
GCCUCCCUGAACUCUGACAGGGGGUGUGGGGAGAAGGGGACAGAGUGUGCAUGAUACCUGAGAUGUGUGGCCCUUGUGUCAGGAGGUGGGGCAAGUAGGUGAAAGGGAGCUACACUUGUGUACACAGCUGAAGAGGUGCCCUCGAGGAUGCUGGAGAUCUCCUGGGCCUGACUACGCAGGUUGUAGUAAUAUAGAAUCAUUUUUUAUUUUUAUUUUUUAGCUUGAGGAAGGAUGGUGUAGGUCAGUGGUGGUCCCCAGUGUCCAUCCAUUUAAUGAAUUUGUGGUGUGUGUGUGUGUUGCUGGGAAUCAAACCCAAGGCCUUGCACAUCCUAGGCAGGUGCUCUGCUCGUGAGCUAAAAGAGAAUGGGUUUUGAGUACCUUGUGACUAGAUGAGACCAAAUGAGGUGAUGGAUGUGGAAAAGGUCCCUUCAUUAUCCAGGCAGAUCCCAGUGGCUGGGGCAUCGGGGGUGGUGGAUGGCAUAAGGGAGAAGCAGCAACAGGCCAUCCAGGCUUAAGACACUUCGCAGCCUCUUUCACACCAGGCCCAGGUGGGAGGCAGUGAGCACAGAGGGGGCCUCCCUCCGGCAGGAUCAUAGCCACAGUAGGGUCAGCGUGGAAGAAGGCACAGGGCAGGAGUGGCACCAGAGGGCACAUUCCAGCUGGGUCCUUUUGUCCGGGCCCCACCUGCCUGCUCUCGUUAACCCCUGUGCGCCUGGUCCCCGCGCUGUCUUCAUCAUUGUCUUCCCGGCCCUCCCCCAGCCCCUGGUGGGAAAGGUCUAAGUGAU